UACGGAGGGGGCUAGCGUUAUUCGGAAUUAUUGGGCGUAAAGGGCGUGUAGGCGGCUCUGUGUGUCCCAUGUGAAAGCCCUCGGCUCAACCGGGGAACUGCAUGGGAAACUGCGGAGCUUGAGUCCGGGAGAGGUGAGUGGAAUUCCCAGUGUAGCGGUGAAAUGCGUAGAUAUUGGGAGGAACACCAGUGGCGAAGGCGGCUCACUGGACCGGUACUGACGCUGAGACGCGAAAGCCAGGGGAGCAAACGGG
This 253-nucleotide ribosomal RNA is filed under the name uncultured bacterium. RNAcentral's name for it is "partial 16S ribosomal RNA". It matches the Rfam family "Bacterial small subunit ribosomal RNA", at positions 524 to 776 of the family's 1533-position model. The record is from RNAcentral.